This 150-nucleotide ribosomal RNA is filed under the name uncultured eukaryote. RNAcentral's name for it is "partial small subunit ribosomal RNA". It matches the Rfam family "Eukaryotic small subunit ribosomal RNA", at positions 1651 to 1809 of the family's 1831-position model. The record is from RNAcentral.
CCCUGCCAUUUGUACACACCGCCCGUCGCACCUACCGAUUGAAUGGUCCGGUGAAGUCUCUGGACUGGCCUCCACCUUGUGUGAGGGCUGGGAAGUUGACUAAACCUUACCAUUUAGAGGAAGGUGAAGUCGUAACAAGGUUUCCGUAGG